This 362-nucleotide unclassified non-coding RNA is filed under the name Fusarium oxysporum. RNAcentral's name for it is "partial contains 28S ribosomal RNA, 28S-18S ribosomal RNA intergenic spacer, and 18S ribosomal RNA". Lineage: Eukaryota; Fungi; Ascomycota; Sordariomycetes; Hypocreales; Nectriaceae. The record is from RNAcentral.
UCGGCAGCGGGGGGUUCAUAGUGGUCGUCGACCUCCACGAAACUGCACGCUCCGGCGUGACAGCGUACUGGGGAUGCCUGUGUAGAUGCAGUCCGGGCUUGCCUGGACCGCUAGCAGAUGGGCUCUGUGGAUGACUGGCCGCUGGCUAGACCUGAAACCUGAGCAACGGGAGGUAACCUCUCGCCGCGGACACCGGAAUGGUAGAAGCGGCGUGCUGCGUCCUCCUCUUGGGGCCCCUAAGCCACACCUCCCAUAGCGGGUUCGGUGCGGCGGACGGACGCCCUGGGGAAUUUAGAGGGGGAAAGCGGAUUGCCCUAGCGGUGUUGUUGGCCCUGCCGACCUCACUGCGAAAGGCGCGACUU